This is a long non-coding RNA of Harmonia axyridis, 470 nucleotides long. RefSeq lists it as uncharacterized. NCBI's taxonomy places the organism in Eukaryota, Metazoa, Arthropoda, Insecta, Coleoptera, Coccinellidae. The record is from RefSeq and is a predicted model, not a curated record. The transcript is spliced from 3 exons.
UAUACAUCAAAAAAUCCAAAACAACUCACCAUUAUGGCAGGAGACUGCCUCACCUUGAAUAACACUUCUAAUGAGAUUUGGUGUAAGGUUGAGAAAGAUGGACAUGUGCCUAAGAAAUCAACCCUAGAGAAAAAAAUUCCAUCUGUCCGAUUUUAAGCAGACAGAUUGAAUUGGAAAAGCAGUACAGGGAGCUGAUAGAAUUAACAGAAAUACGUAGAAAAAAAUUGGCGGAUACAGUCAGAACAUUUUCUCUUAUACAGGAAUCUUCAGAAAUAUCUUCUUGGAUUAAAGAGAAAGGAGCAUAUGUCCCGGUAGGCCAUAUUGGUGAAAGUGUAGAGGUUGUUGAAAUUAUGCAAAAAAAAUUCAAUGAUUUUCAGUCAGACCUUACAGAAAUGAAAAUAAAGCUCAUAGGGAUAUUAACAAAAACAUAAAAAUAACCGCCCUUGCUUGAAGAUAAACUGAGACAGAUG